AUGAACGCUGGCGGCGUGCCUAAUACAUGCAAGUAGAACGCUGAAGGAAGGAGCUUGCUCUUUCCGGAUGAGUUGCGAACGGGUGAGUAACGCGUAGGUAACCUGCCUGGUAGCGGGGGAUAACUAUUGGAAACGAUAGCUAAUACCGCAUAACAGUAGAUGUUGCAUGAUAUCUGCUUGAAAGGUGCAAAUGCACCGCUACCAGAUGGACCUGCGUUGUAUUAGCUAGUUGGUGAGGUAACGGCUCACCAAGGCGACGAUACAUAGCCGACCUGAGAGGGUGAUCGGCCACACUGGGACUGAGACACGGCCCAGACUCCUACGGGAGGCAGCAGUAGGGAAUCUUCGGCAAUGGACGGAAGUCUGACCGAGCAACGCCGCGUGAGUGAAGAAGGUUUUCGGAUCGUAAAGCUCUGUUGUAAGAGAAGAACGAGUGUGAGAGUGGAAAGUUCACACUGUGACGGUAUCUUACAGGAAAGGGACGGCUAACUACGUGC
Molecule: ribosomal RNA, 497 nt
Filed under: uncultured Streptococcus sp.
Lineage: Bacteria; Bacillati; Bacillota; Bacilli; Lactobacillales; Streptococcaceae
Description: bacterial SSU rRNA
Rfam family: Bacterial small subunit ribosomal RNA
Source: RNAcentral